UGUGCAGCCAGAGACUCAUUGGAUUGUGCCGCUUCCCUUUGACCCUUUAAUGCCAUACCCCUUCGGUAAAUAGGAAAUAGGAAAUACUUGCUUCCCCGUCUCCCUGUAGGCCCAGUGGGGUUUAGUAAAAUUGCGCCUGACAUGUAAUACACUAGAUGCUGCUGAAAGCCACGUGCUUAUUGUAAAACAAUUACUAGGAACUGGGAACCACAGUAGAUCAAGGACAAGGCUGCACUUUCACGUUUAUGUGUUAAUGGGGGAGCCCAAGGCCUCGGGCAGGUGGGGUGAGUGUUGCCCUUUGAACAUGGCAUGACUUACAAGGGAUUUCAGGUAUCUGCUGGACGCUCUGGGCUGUUGAUUUGAUCACAGACACCACAUCCAAAGAGGGCAGGCAGACCAGACUGUACAUUAUCUAUCUAUCAUCCACCUUGUACUAGAUGAGGAGACUGCGUUGGAGAGAUUCUACUUUGCCCAAAGAUGCCCAGCCAGUAAUUAGAGGAGCUGCACCUUGAACCCAGGUCUGGUUCCAGGAAAAAAGUCUCAUGCUGCAGCAGGGUCGCGCAGAAGCUGUCACCGAAACACAGCAAGUCAAAUGAGACGGACACGUACCCAACCCACCUGACUUCUUCUUAGCCUCAGAUUCUCGGUGGCAGUGCCUGGGUUUCAGAUCCUUGAACCCCAGCAGCGGUUGCUUCUGCGGGAGGGGAAGUGACUCCGUUUGAGAUAUCUCUGGUGCAGUCAAGCGGGAGGUCAUUUUCCCUUGUGGUUUCAUUGAUUUUAUGAGGAGGGAGUCUGUGAUCUUAGUUGGAAAUAUUUAUGUUUGAAGGAGAGAAACUUAGGGGACUCAGUUGUGUCUGUAGGCCAGUCACUCCCAGGGACCUUCUUAAUUUAGUGAUUCCUCCCCUCCAGCCCCCUCCCUCUGUCCGUCUUCCACGGCAGGAUUGAGCAAGCGAUGUAUUUAUGAGACUGGAGCUCCAGAGCCCACGUGGGGGAGUAAAUUACAAGUGAAUGUACCUCCAGGAUGGGGCAGCCUCCCUCGUCCUGGUGGCACUUCAAAGCUUCCUGAAAAUUCCCCAAGAACAACCAGUCUCAGCGGGGCUCUGUGCAACCCUCUGAUGACUCUGCCCAGAUGUUCUCCGAGAUGUGCAGACCCUCAUUUGUGUCCACACCCCUCUCUAGCAGUUAGCAACGCGUCUUGGCAAAAGGAGACACUGAGGCACAGGGAGGCCAAGGUUUUGAACUUAACAGGCUUGAAGGCUGAGCCCAUCCUCCAGAUGUCCGUCUGGGGUUUCAUUUACCUGUGCUCCAUACCUGAAGGGCCAGGACUGUGUCUUGUCUAUCCUGGAAUCCCUGUCUCUAGCACAAAUAUGGCAAUAGCUAGAACUCAGUACCUUUUUGUGGAAAGAGUGGACAAGUUUGCUGUCCUGGUCUUUAUGCCAAAUUUGAUUGAAGUCCAGUUUGAAUUUCCAAUUCAUUUAGGCCACAGAGAACAAAGAAUUUAAGAUGCCCAUAAACACUGGAUAGUCUCCAAACCGAUUCCUUGGUAACUUCUAGGCACCAAAAUAAAAACAUUUUACAUUAGUAAAAUUGCUCUGUAAUCCACAAGGCCCUUGUACUGGUAUUCUACUGUUCACAGGCAACAACCCAUGAGGCUGGUGUAACUAUGCCCAUCUCAGAGACCAAGAAACUGACACACAGCGAGCCUGGGUAAUUUGUCAAAGUCCCACAGUUGAGUGACAAAGACAGGCCUCAAACCCAGAUCUUUUCAUUCUGAGCCCAGUAUUCUUCCCACCCAAGGGGUGUAUUUCUGUUCCCGCCUUCUAAGGGCACUGGAGAAGCUACUGGAGAAGAAAGAAGUUAGUAUCAAGGACAGGAAGUCUCUGGUUUUGCCUGAGGCAGUGGAACAGGAAGACAAGCACUCUCCAGGCUUCUCCCAUUUCCAGAGCACCUGAUACAUGCCAGCCCCAUGCUCCACACAUACCUGCUUCCAGGGGAAGACUGUCAGGCAAGCUGAAGCUUCCAGCCCCUCUCUUAUGCAGACCCCCUUAACCGCCCUGGGUAAAGGGUGCCAUCAAUUUACUACACAGAAACACUUACUUGAAGCCCUGAGCUCAUAUAUUUAAAAAAUACAUAUUCGGAGGCUUACCAAAUUUGACAACAGCCCUAAAAAAAAUGCCUGACAUUAUCCACAAUAAGUUGUAGAGCUGAAUAUAAGCUCUCAAUAAUAAAAACCAAAUUUUAAUCAACCAUGCUAAAGAAAGGCCAAAUUAUCUUCUGACCAUGGAAAACAUAUAUUUUUAAAGAUUUUAUUUUUAAGUAAUCUCUACACCCCAUGUGGGGUUCAAACUCACGACCCCUAGAUCAAGAAUCACAUACUGUACCAACAGAGCCAGCCAGACGCCCCUGCCUAUGGAAAAUAUUGCAAAAUCUUUGUCAUGUUGACAAGUGACCAAAAAGUAUGCAGUAAAAAUGUGGGGAAGACAGUAUUUUAAAGAGGCAUGCCUAGGUGAUUUUUUUAAUUGUCAUUUUUCUGAAUUUUGUGACAUUUGUGGUAUUCACCUGCCUUAACAUGUGGGGUUUGGGGGGGGGUCAUUUCUUAAUUAUUUUAAAUUUCAUUUUCAAUAGGUUCCACGCCCAACAUGGGGCUUGGACUCACGACCUUGAGAUCGAGAGUCACAUGUUCUAUCAACUGAGCCAGCCAGGCACUCCAUUUUUGUCAUUUUUAAUUCUAAAUAAAUGUUCAUUUUGUGCAUUAUUUACACUUGUAAUUUUGCAUUCUCCUUUCUUCAAGAGGGCCCUGUCAAGUUGGAAAGGUGUCAGGCCCCAUACAGUUAGAGUCUGUCCCUGCAUGGGUCAUCUCGUUUAAAUUAUAAAAAAACUCCAUGGAAGAAUUACAAUUCUAAUUUUCAUUUUGCAGAUAAAGAAACUAAGGUUUAGAGAUGACCGUUUUGCCCCAGAUCCCAGAAAAUGGAAAGGAUCAAAGCCUGGUUUCCAACUCAGAUUUGACUCAAAGCCCAUGUUCUUCCUACUGUGUUACUAUCAGUACCAGCCUUCGUGGAGAUUCAUUCCUGGUCCAGCCACACGAUGCCUUGGGUAACUGUGGUUUGAAAAUAUGUCCCCAAAUCCUUUGAUUCUUUUUCCUCCCUGAUUCCCCUCCCCUGGAGCGCGGGCUGGACUUAGUGGCUUGGCGGAUUUGGAAUAUGGAGGAAAUGAUAGUGCAUGACUGGGUCUUAAACAGCACUGUGGUUGCCUUCUUGCUUUCUUUCUCUUGGGUCAUUCAUCGCAGGGGAAGCUGUCAUGUCAGGGAGGCACUCAAGUAACCUUAGAGAGAGGUCCUCAUGGUGAGAAACUGAGGCCUCCAGCCAACAGCCAUGUGAUGGGCCAUCUUGGAAGCAGACCCUCCCAGCCCCAGUCAAGCCUUCAGAUGACAGCAGUCCAGCAAUCUCACGAGAGACCCCAACCCGUGGGAGGAGCACUGUGGCCUCAGGAAUCCAAAUGCCCACAGUCCUGACGGGCCCUCACAUUCAUCUCUCGGGUGUGUGGAAACAGGCCACACUGCAUCCUCUGUGACCAGAAACUUGAUCUGCAUGCAGUGGGCCAAUUCCAUGAGGUGUGUGGAUACCACAAAAACGGCACGAGACACUUGGUCUGAGGGAACGGGACAUACAUCUACAGAGGCUGGGGAAGCCACCCCACAUGUCCUGAAGGAACCCCCAUGCUUGGGCUGCUCCCUUGUGAGGGGACACCCACAGCGCUUCAUACACGCAGAUUUGAUGGUGACUUGGAGCUGCAAGAACUGCUCCGUGGGGUUUGUUGGGGGAUCCAGAGCCUGACUCAAAGUGAGGGACAUUGUAGGAAGGAUGCCAAGACAAGGGUUUGUAGGCUUGUCAGGCAGCCAUAUCUGAAACAGUCCUCUCUCUGCCACCCCCUCCCCCCCAACCCACCCGCACUUCCUCCUUGUCAAAUCAGCCACACUUGCUAAUAGUGAGUGGAGUGGGGUCUCCCAGAGGAAAUCGGUUUCCCAGGAGGUAACCUCUUUUGAUUUCAAACAAGUACAUUUCCUUGUGUCCAUCAAAAAAAAAAAAAACUCCACUUUUUUGAGGUGACAAGUCUACCUGAUUUAUCACUGGCAUUCCCAGGAUAUGGGGUUUUCAGUGCUAAAAUGGGGACAGUCCUGAGCACACGGGAGAGUUUGUCACCUAUUGGCAUUUAAGUAAGUGAGAAGUCAUGGGGCACCUGGGUGGCUCAGUCAGCUGGGCGUCCAACUUCAGCUCGGGUCAUGAUCUCAUGGUUUGUGGGUUUGAGCCCUGCAUCGGGCUCUGUGCUGACAGCUCAGAGCCUGGAGCCUCCUUCGGAUUCUGUGUCUCCUCCUCUCUGUGCCCCUCCCCCACUCUCACUCGGUCUCUCUCUCUUAAUAAUAAACAUUAAAAAAAAUUUAAAUAAGUGGGAAGUCAAAUCAAUGCAGAUUUUUGUAAAUAAAAAAUUAAUGUUUGGGCAUUAAUUGGGUGGCUCAGUUGGUUAAGCCUCUGACUUUGGCUCAGGUCAUGAUUUCACAGUUCGUGGGUUCGAGCCUGGCAUUGGGCUCUGCACUGAACGGCUCAAAAGCUGGAGCCUGCUUUGGAUUCUCUCUCCCACUCUCUCUGCCCCUCUCCCGCAUAUG
Long non-coding RNA from Acinonyx jubatus (cheetah), 4660 nucleotides. RefSeq lists it as uncharacterized. The transcript has 2 exons. NCBI's taxonomy places the organism in Eukaryota, Metazoa, Chordata, Mammalia, Carnivora, Felidae. The record is from RefSeq and is a predicted model, not a curated record.